UGUUCAUAAACAAAUUUUGAUGGAAAGAGGGUUUAGAGAACAAGAGUUGUGGUUUGUAGUUUGGAAUCUAACCCUUCUUAACUCAGGUAGUUUUGCUACAGAGCUCAACGCUUCUUAACAUGGGAACUGAAACUAACAAAGAUGACCGUAACAAUCCCGAGUACCUAGCCCAGUUACUAAAAGAUAAGAAACAGAUUCAGGCUCUGCCAAACAUAUUCGUUCAUGUGGAAAAACUUUUAGACGAAGAGAUUAACAGAGUUAGGAUAGCAUUGUUCCACAAUCCUGGACUGGAAUUGAAGCUUCCAGAGCCCCAAGGACCACCUGUCACGCUUUCUGAAAAGAUCUAUGUUCCUGUCAAAGACCACCCAGAAUUCAACUUUGUUGGGCGGAUAUUGGGACCCAGAGGUAUGACUGCCAAAGAACUAGAAACACAGACAGGAUGCAAGAUCAUGGUUCGGGGCAAAGGCUCAAUGAGGGAUAAAGUAAAGGUCAGCAGGUUUUGUGUAAAGGAGGAGCAGAAUCGUGGCAAGGCAAACUGGGAGCACUUGAAUGAGGAUUUGCAUGUGCUAAUCACAGUUGAGGAUUCAAGAAAUCGUGCAGAAGCCAAGCUAGCCAAAGCUGUACAGGAAGUCAAAAAGCUCCUCGUACCUGCUCCUGACGGUGAGGAUGAUUUAAAGAAACGGCAACUUAUGGAGUUAGCCAUUAUAAAUGGAACUUAUCGUGAUACCACAAAACCCUCCGCCACUGUUUCGCAACCAUCUGCAUCAAGUCAUGCCCAGAGGUUCCUGGCACAACCACUUCAAUUACCUAUGCGCACAGCCACACCAUCACCAGCAGGAGCUCCCAUCAUUCUGGCUCCACGCCUGCCCCAUGGACUUAUGAGCACCACACAAAGCAUCAUGAACAGUGCCCCACCACCACUUGUCUCUCCAACAGGUGAAAGUGGGCUGAUGUACAACCCGUAUGAACACCCCUACCCAUAUGGAUUGGCAGCACCAACAAUUCUGGAAUACCCUGCUCACAUUGAUCCUACUGCUGGCGUUUUUCAGAAUCAGCUGCCUCAAAAUAGUCUGUCAUUCAGUGGUUUGAACACAUUUUAUUCAGGUAUUUUGCCCGUCUUUAAAGAAAAACCUCUGUUUCAGUCAGCAUAUCAUAUGCAUAUUUUAAUUUUUGUAGGUUUCUUUUCUUAGUGUUUUUUGUAUCUAGAUCAAUUUGUUGAUAUGUGCAUUUUAUUGUUAUCAUGGUUUUAGCAAGGAGUCCUUAGUGUGGUUACAGAUAUGCAUGCAGCAGCAGUCCUCAGUACCUGUAUCCCUGCACACAUGCAUUAAGUUUUGCGGCUUUUCAUUGUAGAUAUGUCAUCAGCUGUUAAUAUUGAUUAAGAACUUGUAAUUUCUCCUUUAUUUUACCACAACGACAAACCCGGCCGAGUCUUUACAAACAGUGUAAAAAUACAGUAUGUAGAAAGGGAAUGGUGUGACUAUAAUUGUUACAAAACAAGCAAACGCUGAGUCAAGUUAUGCUCAGAUUAAAAAUCUCCAAGGUGCAAAUAAUUUUCUUGGAAAAAAAGCUUUGUUCAGAAUAGGUCUCGGUGAAGUUUACUGUUGUUGUUUUGUUUUUGUUUUUUUUUUUUCAAUUCCUCAAUCUUUUUAUUAUCCACUUGGCCACUUUUGCUUUCAGAGGCUAUGCUGCGUGCUUUGUUUUCUUUGCAUGACAUUUUAAAAGAUUGCAUGCUUUUGACUGCGAACUCCAUCAGUCAUAGAAGAAAUGAUAGAUAAGGCCUGACUGGGGCAUAAGAGAUUCUGUGUAGUUUGUGCUGCUGUGUCUGCCAUCUGUUUUGUUUUGUUGGUUUUUUUUUUUUUCCCCAAGAGUGAUCAGGUCAGAGUGCCAAAGAUUAAGUUUUUUUUUCAAGUAAAAUAUUAUGAACGUUUUUUUUUUUCUUUUGAUGCUUCUAACUGUUGUUUAUUGAGACUUGACCUGUUUUAGGUGGAGUGCCGAAAAUCAGGCGUUCUAUAGCUGGCAUUAGAGACCACCCUUACACAAGGGUUACACUCUCCUAAUUAACACAGCUGGCAACUAACCUUGGUCGCACCCCUGUGCCUUUAAAGAGAUGGGCUUGGCUGGCGGCCUCUGCGCCCCUUCGGUGUUUCUCACUCGCCUCUUCACACCACGUACUCAGUAUUACUGAAGCUGGGAGCCCGAGCUCGAUGCCUACGCCACUAACUGCCCUAGUGAGGAUGUGAUAUUAACUCACGGGACAAUGACUUGUCAUGACCACCUCACCGCUCACUCCAUGCAGAGGGGCAGCCAGUUAAGUGCCUCUGUACCAUCCAAAAAAGAAAAAAAAAACUAAUGACUCCACUAACGAGGUUUUUGUGAAGAAGAGCAGAUUGUGCACUGGUUAGAGUGGAGACCAGGCAAAAAUGUGUAUCCAUGUGUGGAUAUUUUUAACUUUCCCUUUCCCCCACUUCCUUUCAAGACAUUGGCUCAGUGUAGGUGUCCACCAUUGCAUGCAUUCAACGAAUUUGUUAACAUGCUAUGCUUUUAUGUUUGUGUCUUUUUUUCCUCCAUAUUUUUGUCCAGUCGGAUUUUCCCUGCUGUUUUUAUAGUCGUUCAUGGCUCCUUAGUUAAAGUGGUAUGAUCAUGCAUAUUUUUGAGGUAUACAAAAGGUUAAACAAAAUUUGCAAAAUUUGACUUGGAUCGACUUUGAAAAUAGCAGUUGCUUUGGUGGUCACCUGUACUUGUCAUUAUAUGUUUGUGUGUACCUGCAGAUGAGUUAACACUUCUGUGCUCGUUGUCUUAUUUUUUUGAAUGGUCAAUAAUGUGGAAUACAAAUGGCAAACGCCUAUUUGAAUAUUGUAAGAAAUCAUUGAUGAACCCCAACAAUAUGGUGUGUGAAAUCAUGUGCCUACUCUAUUCACCUUUUUUUAUUUUUAUUUUUUAUAUAUAAUUUUUUUGUAAGUACACGUUAAAAAUCUUUUGCUGAAUAUUACAUAUGUGCAAGACUUUUUAAAUUUCUUAAUUUCGUUUGUAGCGUAGACUUCAUAGAUGAUGGUUUUGUUGGUAUUUUUGUGUAAAAAUGUAGCAGAAACAUGCAGAGAAAAACAAAAUACAUCUUGAAAAGAAAAUUAUUUACACUUUGUACAAAAUGUUUCAUGAUAAUAAUACUCGUUAAUUUGCAACCAAGUUUGCAAUACUUUAUUUGUAGUUAUAUUGUACAUUCAGUACAGUGAUAGGUCACAGAAGACAGUCUGCUGCUGAAAAAUGACUGUAAAACAUAUCGAUAUCCUUGGUGGCCCCUUCCCUAACCCCUUUUCUUUACCUUUUUUAAAAAUUACUUUGGCAAUACAAUCUCAGUAUUUGAAAGUACAGAGAAUCUCAGCUUUGAACAAGGUUUCUUUUAAGAACCAUAUCAGUAAUAUCUAUGCAAAAUAUAUCACUUUAUGCUGAAAUAAGAACAUUCAUAUCUUUUUUCCCUUGGGAAAUGUUUUUUUAGAUACAGAUACUUUGGUGUGGGAAUGUAAUAUAUGCAAGAGGUUUAGUAUGUGUACAUAUGAACAAAAUGAUCUUGCGCAUUCUUUGAAACAUACUCAUCAGCUUAUAUUUGGUGACAUUUUCCAUUUGUUUUUCAGUGUAUGUGUACUUUUUUCCUACUUGGAAUAGUGUUUAUUUCAUUAUUUCAUUGAUACCUUGAAUGUUGAUAGGGACAGAAAAAGUGAGAUUUCACCUUAAAACUUUUUCAGUUAAGGGAAAAACUAGAUUAAGGUGCUGUCUGAAACUGCAGUUUCUUACCUGAGUUUUGUGUGGUGUUGAGGAACCAGUUCCUAUCAAGUGCAUGGCCUUUACUGUUCUGAUAUUACAUGUCUGCUUCCUCAUUCACCUUCUCUUGUCUCAUUCAUUAAUAAGCAUCUGUUUAGUGACUUGAAGGUUGGCUUAAAACUGAAGAUAAAAUUUCAGUUUUAUAUGGUCCUUAGUUUUUUCUGUCACCAGGUUCUCAUAGUUUGCUUUGUGUAGAGUAUACCCUUUUUAUUCUUGUAAAAGAGAUUGUCAGUAAUGAGAAAUCACAUGCUGACUCAGACAGUGUGCACUCGUUAAUUUGUCUGACAAAGGUGUGAAUUGCUGAAAGAGUUUGUGACCUAUCUGUAGGCGAAAAAAAAGGCUAUCCACACAAAUUAAAAAAACUGUUGAUCUGGUAUCUUUGGAGUCUUUUUAGUUUCCACCAAAACUUGGUAUGGCUCAGCUUCAUACAUUUCUUGUGCUUAUGUCAUGUACUUAAACUUUGUACAAAGCUGGUCACAGUAGUGUCAUAUCAUUAGUGGAUACUCCAGUUUUUACCCUUUAGAUGGUUGGGAUUGGAGUCAACAAGUAUGCUUCCUUUAAAGUGUAACAUAAGAUUGAGAAGAAUGUCAUUUGUUCAUGCUUAUUUUUGAGACCCGUGUCAGUUCUUCCUAUUUGCAAGCUUGAUGUUCUAGGGGAGCAUCAGAAUUAUGAGAAUGUUUGCCUUGUGUAUCUCAUCCAGAAGCAAUACUCUUUCAAAAGUUCAUCGGAUUGUGUAAUUUACUCAUAGAAUCUAUUCAAGGUGUUCGGCUGGUGGUAGUGCUGUAGAUUUUACUACUUGUGUAGAGAUCAGUAGACACAUUAAGAGAGGAAAACAGUCUCUGCUUCUUGUUCAGUGGUAGAAAAUUGUUAGAAGAGCAAAAUAGAGAUGGUAGACUAAUAAUUCACAAAGAUCUAUGAAAAAAGGUUUAUCUUGCUUACUAGGUUGGAGUAUUUCACUGUCUUUAUUUUAUUAAAUUGUUUUACAAAUUAAAGCAGAUUACAACCUUAUAUUUACUGCCCAUGGCAUCUCCAAGCAGCUUAUCCUGUUGCUGCACCAUCUUUAUACAGUGUUAAAUUCAUUACAGCACUAUUGCCAGCAUUACCCAUGCAUUUUCCUUCGUAUUUUGGGGAUAGUUUAUUAAUUACCUGCACAUGAGCCAUUGUUGGGAAUUUUAGCCUGUUGACAUACUCAUGUUUUGUGAUUGUUUGCUGUUCAUGUUCACAACGAAUUACGAUAACCCUAUAUAGUUUUACUGACUGCUGCAGCUAAUGUUGUUAGAUUUCAAGCAAAGCAUUUUGUAACUCACAGUUGUUAACCUCUUACAUGCUGUUAACUUAUGUGUUGGUGACUGUUGUUGAUACUUAACACUAUUGCACCUGUUAAUAAGUUAAUAGCUAGGAAACUUUAGGUUAACAGAUUUUGGUUUCGUUAAUGGCUAUCUUUUCACAAAGCAGGUGGUGUUAAGAUUGACUGCUGACUGCAGGAAUAUAUUUAUAGCUCCAUUGACAAAACUUAGUGGCUUACAGCUACCAGCUAUAAUUUUUAAAUUGCUUUUUGUUUUUGUUUUUUUGUUUUUUUCAGACUGCAUUUUUUUAAAAGAAAGGUCAAACAGAUCAAAAACAAUUUUACAGGGUGAUAGCCCACCAUGGUACUUAACACUGGUACAAUGUAUAAAUUUAUAUAGUGAUAUCCCACCAUGUUACUUAAGACUGCUGUGAUUGAAAAAAGGUUAUAUGACAGUAACAAACUUGUGCUGUCAGUGACUUGCAUAACCAAGAAAAAUGUCACACAUGCUGCAACACCAUAGCAUGAAGGGUUGCAUCAUUGCUGAAAUAAGGCCCAAGAAUCAAACGAACUCAACAAUUUAAGAUAUUUCUCAUUUGGUUUCUCCGUCCCCAUAGGUUGUGCAGAUUUUGUUGUAUGGUUUAUUAUGGCUUAUUGUUGAUGUAAUUUGCUAUCAAAAGGUUUUACACUACAAAGCAGUAGUAUUAAGAAGUUUAUAAGCCAAUGUCAUCGCCCUACCCCUCCUUACCACCUCCCUUUCUUCCAAACCUCUCCCCUCAGUAUUGGGUCAGUAGCCCUAUUCUGUAACCUGCAAGUGCCUUAUUACUUAAUCUUGAUGUUACCGCAUGCCCUCCAAACCCAGGGUUAACUGGUAAGAAUAUCACAAAAGUAUAUUUUUGUAUGUUACCUUAUUUUGACUGCUGUCUUAAAUGCAAGAUACCUUGAGGAAAAAAGAGGUUCUGUACAGUGAGAAAAACAUUUUUGAGAGGGAAAAUUUGAAAAUCUAUUAACUGCUUGUGCAACAGUUAUUAUGCAUAAUAUUCUGCCUCUUGCUCUCACAUUAUUCUGUCCUUUUUAUUUGAAAAGAUUUCUUAAUGAUCUAAAUCCAUAUUUCCACCAAGUGCUGAAAUUCUACUUGUAUAGCUUCUCUUUCUAACUUGGUUCUAGGGAAUUUUCUUUUUGACAUUUGAAUGAAUCCUGCUCCCUUCAUUUUUACCUUACUUGGUAAGUUCAGCCAAAGUUGUGUGGACAUAGACGUACACAUGACUUCAGCAGAGAUUGCUGCUUUCUGAAUCUUGGUGUCGCUUCCUCUCACCCCUUUCUGUGACUAUGGUUUACUAAUAUAGCAAGCGAAGACGAGCAUUUUCCUGCAUAUUAAUCACAUUAAUCUUUCUACUGGUUACUUGAAUUUGAUGUAGUUAAUACAUUAACCAUCUGGUGCCUCUGCUUAUCAUAACCAGCCAACGUAUUUUGCAUAUUUUGUAACCAUUUUAUCAUUAAUAUGCAAUAAAAUCCCAGAUUUUAUACCUUUGAAGACCAUCUCUGUUUGUUUACACUAACCCAGUCAGCUAUUUAGUGCUGUGUGUUUUGUCUUUUAGUGCUGUUUCUGACACACAGUGUGGCUCAGAUCUGAAAGUAUCUGCAUGCAGCUCAAUGGUUGUGGUAAAUAAAGAUCAUUGUUGUAGAUAAUUCAAAACCCCUGAAGUAGCUAAAAGUUAUAUAGGCUAAGAAAACUUUGAUUCCUAGCCACAGAAAUGUGCCAGAAACAGUUCCUCUCAGUUAAAACUUACAUUGGCCGUGAAUGGGUUACGAUAAUAUAAAACAAAAAAAUAUAUGUAUACCACCACUGUGGAACGUCCAAUAUAUGCAAAGCUCACACUUCAUCACUGUGUAUUAACAUUUAACAGCUUGUAAUAAUACACAUUUUGUUUCUGGUUGUGUUUUCAAAACGUUGUGCAAGUUUGCUUAUGGUUAGUGAGUGACCUAACCUCACAGGCAGGUGUCCCCCACCCCCCGAACUGAACAGCAGGUGAAGCUGAAGGCACUAGGAGUCUUUCUGCAUGAUUGCUUUUGGGUUGAACAGUGCUAUCACUGAACAUUUCUUGCACUGAAUUUAGACUAAUCUUUGAGCAUGCUUAUGGCGUACAGCUUGGAAGCCUGACACACAAAAGUCACUCAUUAGCUCGUCUGGACUGCACUUUGUAGAGUGUUAAUUGCAUAAUUUAAUAAGGGUCAAGAGGGAAGCAAAAAAUGCACAAGAUUAACCGUUAAAAUCUGCAGGGUAGCAAGUUGUGUGGAAAGCUUGGUCAUGUAAGCUAUUUGGGGCUUAUGGUACAGCAUGUCGCCAACAUCGCUCGGCUCCAUUUGCCACGCUAACCUGUGCAGGUUACAUCAGCUUCUCAUCUCUCAGAUUGUGACAGGUAAAGCUGUACAUCCUGAAAUGGUUUCCUUAUUUAGCUGUAAGAGACCUUAGUUUUUAAAGUAGUUUUUUUAUGUCCAGCAAAAUUAAAGUGCCUGUUUCACUUUUUGAUAAUUUCUUUUCUUUUUACACUAGCUAGUUGAGCUAGCAUUGUUGCUAUUUGGAACUUCUGUCUGUAGAUAACUGCAGAUUUACCUCGUGUGUGCCCUGUCUUCCUAAAAUAAGUGCCUUUCAAGAUUAAUCAGCUUAACACAAAGUUAACAUCGUGUUCCCCAUCAGCUUUUUUGAUGGAUUUUUUUCUCUUGUUUUUUUUUUACAAGCUUUUCCAGGGUAAUCGUAAAGAUCAUUGAGACCUUUUUGUGAGUGAAGCAUUUUCGUAUGUGAAGAAUUAAGACAUAAUUACUGCUUUGGCCACUUUUCUUAUUUGUGGCUGUUCUUGGGGCAUAAUUUAUGAUGCAUCCUCAGGAAGCUGUUGACAUUUGGCAAGAUUGUAUUACAAGCAUUUCAUCAUUUCUGAUGGAUAUUUCAGGAAGGAGUUUGCCACACUUUUGUCUUUGGGAUCAUGUUGUUGAAGUUUUAACACAAACCUGUUUUUCAUGGUUUGAAUUGGCAGCAAGUUUCACAGACUUAGCAAAGUAAUUAAAAAAACCACAUUCUGAAAAUCUUUAUAUCAAAACAUUGUCACCCUAUAUUCCUUAACCCCCAUCCUCUCCUGUUAUUAAGCCACACAAAUUCUCUUAUAUAAAUUUGAUUACCCCGCCCCCCCCCCCCUAAUUAUAAAAGCAAUUAUAUGAAUCUUUACUGGUGCAUACUCUCUCUUAAUUGAACAAAACAUUGUUUUAUUAGGAUAUGUAAAUCAUACUUGCAAGCAGAGAUAAAAAAACAAGAUUGAUAAAGUUUGUAGUUUUUGCAGUCAACUAGGUGAUCCGGAAAGAUUUUACUUCAAUACCUUGAAUUAACUGUUUAGUUAACGUCUUUAACAGUUAUAAAACAUAUUCCCUUCCUCUUUCUUGACCAAAUAAAAAUGAAAAUGUCCAUCAUUUCUUCCCCGUCUCCUUCAGCCCAAAUUUUUAUUGCAUUGCAAAAAUGUCAGUCUUGCCAGUUCUCAAAGUUCUGUUUUGCGUUGUGCAAGAGUUUUUUAUGUUAACUCUUAUUUGCUCAAUUGCUCAAGUUGUUGAAAAACAAACUCGAAAACUUCAUUUAAAAAAAAAAUAUUUCAUGUAAGAAACGUGGAUGCGAAGGAGGAGGGCUUUGUACUUAACUAUGAAUUUCGACUUUGGCUUCAUUUUGUGGAGUGAGCUUGUAAUCAUUAGCUAAGAACCAUGACAUAAAAGAAGUGUAGCAGCAUGUUCAUGAUUACAACUAGCUUGGAAGCCGUCUUUGUGAUUAUGUCCCUGAUGUUGCUAUGCCGGUCAUCUCAGCCUCAUCCCCAACCUCAAUGAAUGUGUAGAAGUAAAUCUCCCUUCUGUAUUUUAUUGUGUAUUUUUUUUUUUUUUUUUAAUUGGUACCAUUCAAGUGUUGAUUUGCUACUCAAGUGUUGUGUGUCGUCGUCCGAGCACCUCGGUGGCAGGGGUGACAUGAUCUGUGACACGUUUACCAAUAAAAGCAAGUAUUGUUGCAUGUCCUGCUUUUUACCCUGUCGCAAAGAAGGAGCUUCAAAAAACAGUUAAUAAAGGUUUACUGUCCUACAAAGA
Molecule: RNA transcript, 9214 nt
Organism: Pomacea canaliculata
Lineage: Eukaryota; Metazoa; Mollusca; Gastropoda; Architaenioglossa; Ampullariidae
Gene name: protein quaking-B-like
Exons: 8
Source: RefSeq, a predicted model, not a curated record